RNAcentral lists this ribosomal RNA (407 nucleotides) under uncultured bacterium. RNAcentral describes it as "bacterial SSU rRNA". It matches the Rfam family "Bacterial small subunit ribosomal RNA", at positions 355 to 774 of the family's 1533-position model. The record is from RNAcentral.
UGGGGAAUAUUGCACAAUGGGCGCAAGCCUGAUGCAGCGACGCCGCGUGAGGGAUGACGGCCUUCGGGUUGUAAACCUCUUUCAGCAGGGAAGAAGCACAAGUGACGGUACCUGCAGAAGAAGCGCCGGCUAACUACGUGCCAGCAGCCGCGGUAAUACGUAGGGCGCAAGCGUUGUCCGGAAUUAUUGGGCGUAAAGAGCUCGUAGGCGGUUUGUCGCGUCUGCUGUGAAAACGCGAGGCUCAACCUCGCGCCUGCAGUGGGUACGGGCAGACUAGAGUGCGGUAGGGGAGACUGGAAUUCCUGGUGUAGCGGUGGAAUGCGCAGAUAUCAGGAGGAACACCGGUGGCGAAGGCGGGUCUCUGGGCCGUAACUGACGCUGAGGAGCGAAAGCAUGGGGAGCGAACA